RNAcentral lists this long non-coding RNA (1063 nucleotides) under Phoenix dactylifera (date palm). RNAcentral describes it as "long non-coding RNA (PDAC_LNC003593)". Lineage: Eukaryota; Viridiplantae; Streptophyta; Magnoliopsida; Arecales; Arecaceae. The record is from RNAcentral.
UUAUAACAACUAGGUAGCUUUUGUUUUGAAACCCUUUCACUACUAAAUUGAUCCUUGUCUUUCCUCAUGUGCCGUCAUGUGAGACCAUUGAACUUAGUGCCGACCUCCAUUCAAUGCUUACUGGUACGGAACAACAUGUCCCCACACCCGCAUACGUAGAUUGAUGAAGUUGACACACAUCUGUAAUACCCCUACUGCCCUACAUAUUAGUGCUUAUUACAUGAUCAGUUACAGUAUAUGUGAGCAAAGUGUAUUGUAGCAAGUACUAAUAUAUGUGAAUGGAAACAUCACGAGACGGAUGCUUUUGUAUGAGAAUUGCAUUAGUAUCGAAUUUAAUGACUAAUAAGAUCCUAGGUCUAAGUAAAAAAAAAAAGUUCAAGAACUAACUUGCCAAUGCUAGAGUUGUGGCCACCUCAUGCAUCUUUUGACAUCUGCCACCUCAUGCAUCUUUUGACAUCUGCCACCUCAUGCAUCUUUUGACAUCUGCCAGCUCAUGCUCAUCAAAAAUGCUAAGUAUUAAACAACCACCUCAUGCUUGUGCCACCUCUAGUAUAUUUAUUAAUUGCCACUUCAUGCUAAUUUUCAUUAAGCUACCACCUCAUGCUUAUUACUGGUAAAGCAGUGCCUCAUACCAGAAAUUCAGCCACCUAGCUUCUCCUAUACUGGAAACCUAGUUGCUAAUAUCCCAUGGUGAGACACCAAAGGCUUACAAGCCAUCUAUAAAUAGGAGGUUGCAGCACUCUUCCGCCAUUUUUGCAAACCCUACAAGUUCAACCACCUAUAAAGUAGACAACUAUUGAAGGAAAGGAGAGAAAGUAAAGAAGAAGUGAAUACCAAGCAAUCCUCUAAGACGAAAGAAGGUGGUGCAUGAAGUUUUAGAACAGGAAUCAGUAAGUGUCCUGAAAUAGCUGAUGUUCCACUUUACAAGUUAUUUACUUAUGUCCACAGAUUUAGAACCAAGAUCGACAGAACCGUCCCAAACUGGAUGAUUCUUGCUGAUCCGAGCCAUACCGGUGGCUCACCGGUACAGUUCCAGCAACAAAAAUGAGACCCAUUGUUGGAG